Molecule: long non-coding RNA, 155 nt
Organism: Sander lucioperca (pikeperch)
Lineage: Eukaryota; Metazoa; Chordata; Actinopteri; Perciformes; Percidae
Exons: 3
Source: RefSeq, a predicted model, not a curated record
GUAUACUCUGCCACCAUCAGUUUGUUUCAGUUAGGGCAGUGGUGGCCUUAAGGUUAGAGAAGCAAGCUUGUGACCAGGAGGUCGUCUUUUCAAUCCCCAGACCCACAGGAUAAAAUCUGGGUGGGGGAAGUGAAAGAGCAGCGCUUGUCUCUCCA